This 259-nucleotide ribosomal RNA is filed under the name uncultured prokaryote. Its description in RNAcentral is "partial 16S ribosomal RNA". It matches the Rfam family "Bacterial small subunit ribosomal RNA", at positions 524 to 780 of the family's 1533-position model. The record is from RNAcentral.
UACGUAGGGUGCGAGCGUUAAUCGGAAUUACUGGGCGUAAAGCGUGCGCAGGCGGCUUUGCAAGACAGAGGUGAAAUCCCCGGGCUCAACCUGGGAACUGCCUUUGUGACUGCAAGGCUAGAGUACGGCAGAGGGGGGAUGGAAUUCCGCGUGUAGCAGUGAAAUGCGUAGAUAUGCGGAGGAACACCGAUGGCGAAGGCAGCCCCCUGGGAUAACACUGACGCUCAUGCACGAAAGCGUGGGGAGGCAAACAGGAUUA